Molecule: ribosomal RNA, 492 nt
Filed under: uncultured organism
Description: SSU rRNA
Rfam family: Bacterial small subunit ribosomal RNA
Source: RNAcentral
UGGCUCAGGAUGAACGCUGGCGGCGUGCUUAACACAUGCAAGUCGAACGAAGCUCUCUUUAAGGAUCCCUUCGGGGUGACUAAAGGAGAUGACUGAGUGGCGGACGGGUGAGUAACGCGUGGGUAACCUGCCCUAUACAGGGGGAUAGCAGUUGGAAACGACUGAUAAUACCGCAUAAGCGCACGGUAUCGCAUGGUACAGUGUGAAAAACUCCGGUGGUAUAGGAUGGACCCGCGUCUGAUUAGCUUGUUGGUGAGGUAACGGCUCACCAAGGCGACGAUCAGUAGCCGACCUGAGAGGGUGACCGGCCACAUUGGGACUGAGACACGGCCCAAACUCCUACGGGAGGCAGCAGUGGGGAAUAUUGCACAAUGGGCGAAAGCCUGAUGCAGCGACGCCGCGUGAGUGAUGAAGUAUUUCGGUAUGUAAAGCUCUAUCAGCAGGGAAGAUAAUGACGGUACCUGACUAAGAAGCACCGGCUAAAUACGUGCC